GUGCCUACGGGACGCAGCAGUAGGGAAUCUUCCACAAUGGGCGAAAGCCUGAUGGAGCAACGCCGCGUGGGUGAAGAAGGUCUUCGGAUCGUAAAACCCUGUUGUUAGAGAAGAAAGUGCGUGAGAGUAACUGUUCACGUUUCGACGGUAUCUAACCAGAAAGCCACGGCUAACUACGUGCCAGCAGCCGCGGUACUACGUAGGCGGCAAGCGUUAUCCGGAUUUAUUGGGCGUGAAGGGAACGCCGGUGGUCUUUUAAGUCUGAUGUGAAAGCCUUCGGCUUAACCGGAGUCGUGCAUUGGAAA
RNAcentral lists this ribosomal RNA (305 nucleotides) under uncultured bacterium. Its description in RNAcentral is "bacterial SSU rRNA". It matches the Rfam family "Bacterial small subunit ribosomal RNA", at positions 335 to 632 of the family's 1533-position model. The record is from RNAcentral.